GGUGAGUAACGCGUUGGUGACCUGCCCCGAAGCGUGGGAUAACAGUUCGAAAGGGCUGCUAAUACCGCAUGAGGUCUCUAGAGUUAGAGGACUGGAGACGAAAGGAGCAAUCCGCUUUGGGAGGGGCCUGCGUCCCAUCAGCUAGUUGGUAAGGUAAAAGCUUACCAAGGCGAAGACGGGUAGGGGGCCUGAGAGGGUGACCCCCCACACUGGCACUGAAACACGGGCCAGACACCUACGGGUGGCAGCAGUAGGGAAUAUUGCACAAUGGGCGAAAGCCUGAUGCAGCAACGCCGCGUGCGCGAAGAAGGUCUUCGGAUCGUAAAGCGCUUUUUGGGGAGAUGAGGAAGGACAGUAUCCCCAGAAUAAGGCCCGGCUAACUACGUGCCAGCAGCCGCGGUAAAACGUAGGAGCCAAGCGUUAUCCGGAUUCACUGGGCGUAAAGCGCGUGCAGGCGGCUCGGUAAGUUGGGCGUGAAAUCUCCUGGCUUAACUGGGAGAGGUCGUUCAAUACUACCGGGCUAGAGAGCAGUAGAGGAAGAUGGAAUUCCCGGUGUAGUGGUGAAAUGCGUAGAUAUCGGGAGGAACACCAGUGGCGAAGGCGAUCUUCUGGACUGUUUCUGACGCUCAGACGCGAAAGCUAGGGUAGUAAACGGGAAUAGAGACCCCGGUAAUCCUAGCCGUAAACGAUGUGAACUUGGCGUCGGUAGCUUAAACACUAUCGGUGCCGCAGCAAACGCGAUAAGUUCACCGCCUGGGGACUACGAUUGCAAGGAUU
This 777-nucleotide ribosomal RNA is filed under the name uncultured bacterium. RNAcentral describes it as "bacterial SSU rRNA". It matches the Rfam family "Bacterial small subunit ribosomal RNA", at positions 105 to 896 of the family's 1533-position model. The record is from RNAcentral.